Molecule: long non-coding RNA, 1426 nt
Organism: Papaver somniferum (opium poppy)
Lineage: Eukaryota; Viridiplantae; Streptophyta; Magnoliopsida; Ranunculales; Papaveraceae
Exons: 2
Source: RefSeq, a predicted model, not a curated record
AUAGUUAAAAAUAAACAACUACUGAACUGAGUAUCUAUCAGAGAAGGGGGCUCUGAGGAUCGGGCGAUAUUGAGUCGACCUAGAACUCUUACUGAUUCAAAAAAUUUCCCUAUCUGAUCGUCUGCAUGUCCACAAAUUUCUCAUAAAAACAUCAAUCGAGUUUCUCUUCUUACUUAAAUCCUCCUCAUCCUAAUCCCUAACUCUUUUCGAUUUCAUUAUUCAUAUCCAGGUUUUAUUAUCCUAAUUUUUUUCUUCCCAACUUUAAGCCAUGAGUGGCUAAUUCCUUUUCUUAGCCUUUGAUGGAUAAAUCAUAAACAAGUUUCUAGAUCUACUGCAAAAUUAGGAGAUAUGAAUUAAAAGUUUAUGGAGUUGGAAGAAGUCCUGGAUCCCGGUUUCACCUCAAUCCCAAGUACACAAACCCUAACUAAUGAAGAUUUGUUAGGUAAUCCAUGGGUUUCAGCUUGGCAGCUGGGCUUUUGUAUCACCUUGCUGUUGAUUGGCAGGGUGAUGUAUCUCUGUUUUCUUUCUCCUCAAGCGCCUUGAAUUUGAGUAAUAGUUUUCGACUAGUUCUAGAUGAGAUCCUUCUUAUGUCUCAUGAGGGUCUAAUUGCUUUUGUAGUUAAAAUUGUAGGUUCAAGGAAGAAAUUUCUAUGGUUUUUUUUUUCUAUCUGUUUUUGGGUUGCUUUUAAGAUGCACAGGAUCCAAUCCUCUGAAAUAUGAGAGUUUUAUUCUUAUUGUUGAAGUGGGAGUUUUUGUUAAUCUCUUACAUUGGAGUCCUUAUGUAGCGAUGUUCUUGUUUUCUAUCCUUGGUCACAUUCCCGAACAAGUUUCUGAUUAGUACUUGUGCUUUCUAACCAAAUUUAAGCCUUUAAAAAAGUAGUAUUUCCUUCUUCCAAGCAAAAGUGAGAUUAAUUUCCCAUCAGGUUUAUAUUUUUAUUUGUUGGAAUUGGUUUAGGUCAGAUUUUGGGGUGAAUUUGAAUUACAUAUCUUACACAAUCUUUGUGAUAUCCGUGGAUUGAUUGAGCAUAAGAUAGUGGGUACAUCCUUUUGCCUUCGUUAACCAACAAGCAGAUGGUGGUGAUAAGUGUUAAUAUUAGAUGAAACCCAACAGAAGGUACAAUCAUCCUUGUACUUGUGCAUCAUUUCUAUCUUAUAAAGCUCCAGUCAGAAGUUCCAGUUGAAUAGAAGAGCAUUGAUCAUAACCUUGGUGACAACUCCAACCAUAAUUAGUACAAGAUAUCUCUAGAAGAAUCAGUAGACCUGUGAAACUUUUUUGUUUAUUGAUGCCAUCAGAGACUAUGAAGCCUAAUCCUCUUGUUUUAUGUUCUAUCUUUCUCUUAUUUGUUAUCUAUUUUCUGUUUUUAUUACCUUUUAUAUCUAUCUGUAAUUAGUAAAAGUAAUUUUUUCUGGCUGAGGUUUUCCUCUGA